Molecule: ribosomal RNA, 490 nt
Filed under: uncultured bacterium
Lineage: Bacteria
Description: partial 16S ribosomal RNA
Rfam family: Bacterial small subunit ribosomal RNA
Source: RNAcentral
AGUGAACGCUGGCGGUAGGCCUAACACAUGCAAGUCGAACGGCAGCACAGUAAGAGCUUGCUCUUACGGGUGGCGAGUGGCGGACGGGUGAGGAAUACAUCGGAAUCUACUUUUCGUGGGGGAUAACGUAGGGAAACUUACGCUAAUACCGCAUACGACCUACGGGUGAAAGCAGGGGAUCUUCGGACCUUGCGCGAUUGAAUGAGCCGAUGUCGGAUUAGCUAGUUGGCGGGGUAAAGGCCCACCAAGGCGACGAUCCGUAGCUGGUCUGAGAGGAUGAUCAGCCACACUGGAACUGAGACACGGUCCAGACUCCUACGGGAGGCAGCAGUGGGGAAUAUUGGACAGUGGGCGCAAGCCUGAUCCAGCCAUACCGCGUGGGUGAAGAAGGCCUUCGGGUUGUAAAGCCCUUUUGUUGGGAAAGAAAAGCAGCAGGUUAAUACCCCGCUGUUCUGACGGUACCCAAAGAAUAAGCACCGGCUAACUUCGU